AUUGAUUUGGCAGAUUUAAGUGCGUUAAGUUUAGAACUUAUUUAUGUUAUUUUUAACAAUUAAUA
RNAcentral lists this transfer RNA (65 nucleotides) under Megacrania alpheus adan. Its description in RNAcentral is "tRNA-Leu". The record is from RNAcentral. Lineage: Eukaryota; Metazoa; Arthropoda; Insecta; Phasmatodea; Phasmatidae.